UUCUUCAAUGCUCGAUUCUUCUAGCUUUUCUCAAGCUAAUCAUACUUAUCAUUCAUAACAUCUGUAAAAAAAAAGAAAAUAGGGAAUGAGCAAACCACAGCUCAGUAAGUGAAGGCUCACACACCUUACUGGAUCAAACAUCGUUUCAUACAUGUCAUAUAGAUCAUUCAAAAUAUUCGUUAAAUCAUAAUGUCAAAACAUCUCAAUAUCAUCGUUCUGUCAAACAUUUUAUAAAUUCAUAAAUCAUUGUAAAAUAUGUUAUCAUUCAAAUAUCGUAAUCAAACCAAAUCAUGGAUCAAUCAUUAAAAAUCAUCGUAAAUCAUCAUUAUCAUAAAUCAUCAUUAUCAAUCAAAUCGUUAUCAUUCAAAUCGUUAGCUACGGUCACUGCUAUAACCCGUGACAUUGGCCGUAUCGACAAUUUCAUUCUCAUGAUCAUUGCUAACUAUUAUAACCCGUUAGCUAGGGCUUAUGCUAACUACUAUUACCCGUUAGCCAGGGUCGUAUGAUCAUGUCUUUGCUAACUACUAUUACCCGUUAGCCAGGGUCGUAGAACUAGUUCUGGUGUCGAUGAUCCCACUUCCCAGGGAUAUAAAAACGUAGCUAUCAUAAAAUUAUUCUUUAAACAUAAAUCAUUUUCUCAUUUUAUUCAUAAGCAUGAUCCAUCAUUUAUAUAAAGAAACACAAAAUAAUCAUAUGCUUGAUCCUAUUUUCAUAUAUCGAAAAUAAAGAAAUAAAACGUUCUUUC
This 745-nucleotide long non-coding RNA is filed under the name Durio zibethinus. RNAcentral describes it as "long non-coding RNA (DZIB_LNC000680)". Lineage: Eukaryota; Viridiplantae; Streptophyta; Magnoliopsida; Malvales; Malvaceae. The record is from RNAcentral.